RNAcentral lists this ribosomal RNA (253 nucleotides) under uncultured bacterium. RNAcentral's name for it is "partial 16S ribosomal RNA". It matches the Rfam family "Bacterial small subunit ribosomal RNA", at positions 524 to 776 of the family's 1533-position model. The record is from RNAcentral.
UACGGAGGGUGCAAGCGUUGUCCGGAUUUAUUGGGUUUAAAGGGUGCGUAGGCGGCUUUUUAAGUCAGUGGUGAAAGACAACAGCUCAACUGUUGCAGUGCCAUUGAUACUGAAGAGCUUGAGUACAGAUGAGGUAGGCGGAAUUUAUGGUCUAGCGGUGAAAUGCAUAGAUACCAUAAAGAACACCUAUUGCGAAGGCAGCUUACUAAGCUGUAACUGACGCUGAGGCACGAAAGUGUGGGGAUCAAACAGG